UGUUUCUUUGUAGCAGGAGCUGAGAAGACCCUCUAGCCCACCUGGACCCCAUCUGCACUGCAUCUCCGCCGUGCCCUCCUCUGUUCCAGUGGCCACCGUGUGAUGGUCCAGUUCCCUCUACAUCGUCCCUAAGGUUUCCCAUCCUCCACUUCCACAUGUCUAUCUUUGGGGACGGUGUAGGGGGCCGACUUCCCUUCUGGAUAACCCUUCCCCUCACCAGAGAUGUGUUUGACGGCGUUGGAGCACUAACUUGAACUCUGGUUCCCUGUGCCACUUCUCUCUCAUCAUGAGUCUACACAUAAGGGACAAGCCUGACUCCCCGUCCACGUGGCCAACCCUCCAAAUCUGGGGGGCCAGCACGUGUCUCUUUCAGGCUUCCCUCCUCUAAGCAAAGCAGCCCUCGCAUCUGCAGCUGCUCUUCACCUGAAGAGUCCCCAGUCUUUUCACCAUGCCGGCUGGCCUCCAAACGUGCUCCAGUUUGUCCACGUCCCUCCUCAAGUGUUUCUCGGAGCCCAAGACGCCGUUGGCCUGAGCCGGGCCGGAUCUGCUGCUUUUGGUGCUUGCUGGCAAUCACAUCACACUGCUGCCUUUCGUUGACCCGCAAGCAACUGAAACUCUACAGCAGGUUCUUCCUGAUGUGCGCUCUUGUUGAGCCCUUCUGUACUGGACGGUGGAUAUUUUUGGACCCAAGGAUAUGGUCAUCUGUUUGUCUACCCAAGGCCCUGUCCUAGUCUGUUGGGUUUAUUCAGGAUCCCAAGUCGGUCGUCCAGCUGUCCCUCUGGCUUUGGACCAACAGCCAGUUUGAUCCACAUGCUUUCUAGGGCUUAGUCCAAGUCAUUGAUUAAAAAUGUUGAAUAGAGGGGCUUCCCUGGUGGUGCAGUGGUUAAAAAUCCGCCUGCCAAUGGAGGGGACACGGGUUCAAGCCUUGGACCGGGAAGAUCCCACAUGCUGCGGAGCAACGAAGCCCGUGCGCCACAACUACUGAGCCUGUGCUCUGGAGCCCGCAAGCCACAACUAUUGAGCCCACAUGCCACAACUUCUGAAGCCCACGCACCUAGAGCCUGUGUUCCAUCACAAGAGAAGAUACUGCACUGAGAAGCCCACGCACCACAACAAAGAGUAGCCCCUGCUCUCUGCAACUAGAGAAAGCCCGUGCGCAGCAACGAAGCCCCAACGCAGCCAAUUCAUUAAUUAAUUAAUUUAAAAAAUGUUGACCAGAACCGGACCAAUGAUAUUACCCUGCACUACUCGUGCAAAUCUUUCUGGGGUUCGAGAUCACACAGGGAUGGUCCAGCUGUCGAAUGCAGCCUGUAGAUGUGUUUUGUUUGGCCUGCAUGGUAUUUUCUUUCUUUCUUUUUUAAACUUUGAAUCAGUGGCCAAAAUCUGGAUUUCAGCUUCUCCUGAGAGACUGAAUAUAUUUCAGCAUUGGGUCCACUCUCCAGCAGGGCAGCAGCCAGCUGUGUGGCCCAGGCAGCUGUGGGGGGCUGGGGGGCUGCACCUCCCGCCUGGACGUGUGCGGUAACGACUGCAGCCCCGAGUCAAGACAUGGCCUCUGCGUUCUGCCUCUGUCCCCGUCACCGGCUAUCGUCAGGCGCCCUGCGCAGUCCUACGCAGCGACACCUGUCUGCCUUACUCCCAAAGGCGCCCAGUGAGCUGCCCCCACUCGCCGUGUACCGGCACCCUUUGAGAGUGGUCUGACGACUGGUUAUAAAUUCACCUAAUUGCAUUGGGCCGGCCACACAGCUCGUUCGGUUUUAAGUAAAAAUAGAAGACGUAUUGUUCAUUUUCACCAAGAACUGCAUUGAACAACGUAUUCACUAACCAAAUGAACUUUUCGGCCAACCCAGUGCCAUCUCCCGGGCUACAGAGCCUCCCUCGGAUUUUAUGAGACGUCUUCCCAAAGGCUGGACAAAACCCCGUUUUCAGGGGUUCCUGCACCUCCUUGAUUUACCAGGCUAAGGACAUGAAAUUGAGGUUAGCGUGGCUGAUUCUUCACCAUCAGCGUUUACCUUUCCAACUGCGUACGAAGUGCCCUUUGAGACGUUGUUUUUAGUGCUCUCUAGGACGCAACCCGGAUCUGGUCACGAGUCCACAGAUCACCCAAACAUGCAGCCUCCCUCUCCUCCACGACGACCAGGAAGAAAUCUAGAUGAAGAAGCAGAGGGAGAGGAGGAAGCACAUUCCCUUUCCGGUGGAAGUAUUGGACCAUUAGGUUGAAAACACAGGCGGUGCUACGAGGAAGCCACGUCCAGCAUGGGCUCUGGAGCCCGAGGGCCGAGGUUCAAACCCUGGCUCUGUGGCUCACUGGCCCUGUGUUUCAGCCUCUACACCUGUAAAAUGGAGCUCACAAAAGCACCUGCCACUCAGGGUUGCUGUGAGGAUUCAACGUGAGGUCCAGGUAAGGAGCUCAGAACAGAGGUGGGCGCAGAGUAAAUGCUCAAGAAGUAGAGCGGAUUCAGAGCUGUCUCAAGGCUCCCCAAGCUCCUUCCCAUCCAGGUGAGCUGUGCCUUCUCUCCUGCAGGGUGGUGGCAGCAGGGUCUCUCCCGCCCCCCGCCCAUUCAUCUCUUGCUUGUAGUAAGUCCGACGCUCACGUCCAUCCGCGUGAAGGCGCCGGUACCCUGAGAGCGAAGAACCAUGGUGGCCGCCUCCACGGCCUCGCACGCUCCCCAUCAAAUAUCAGGCUCUUGAGAAAGAAAAACACGUUGUCCCCGAAGAGGAAGGAACAACCGAAACCGGUCUGUGGUUCUCAUUGGAAGAAAUCUAACCCAAGAGUGCUGAACAAGGGAAUGUGCUUCUUUUCCGGGAGACUCUAGGUGGAGAGGCUGGGCUCCCAGCGCAACCCUAUUUUCCUCCUUAUUAUGAAGAGCGGCUUCAUCUCUGCGGAAAGAGGAAAAGACAGGGGAGAACAGAGAGCGGUAGCCUCACUCCCUGGAAAAAGAAAGCAUCCAGAUUUCAAAAUACUCAGACUUAUUUCUCUCUCCAAAGGCAACGUCAGAAACUGUCCACCCCUCCAUCAAAGAGGGGAGCUGUUUGAAGCCACCCCCUCCCCAAGCCUACCUGCUGAUUAUUCGGGAAAAUAUGAUAUUGACAUGACUCUUUAGAAUACAGAGGCUUUGCAGUGUUUGGGUACAACCCUAGGACUAUCUUGCACCCACACAUGAUUAAAAAUUUAGAUGGCUAACUUUGAAACAAUCAAAUGCAUUAGAAGCUUCUUAAUGAGCCGCUGUCUGAACUAAAGCGCAGCAAACUUCAGAAAAGUGCUUCUGUGGAAAUCCCGCUGUCUUUGAUCCGGUAAAGUCACGGCGGGGUGGAUUUAUUUCAAGUUUAUUUUUUGGCAUACUGGUCCUCCCGAAAUAUUGGGAGAUAUCUUUCUUAG
This is a long non-coding RNA of Hippopotamus amphibius kiboko, 3376 nucleotides long. RefSeq lists it as uncharacterized. Lineage: Eukaryota; Metazoa; Chordata; Mammalia; Artiodactyla; Hippopotamidae. The transcript is spliced from 3 exons. The record is from RefSeq and is a predicted model, not a curated record.